Molecule: transfer RNA, 66 nt
Filed under: Camelus ferus (Wild Bactrian camel)
Lineage: Eukaryota; Metazoa; Chordata; Mammalia; Artiodactyla; Camelidae
Rfam family: tRNA
About the family: Transfer RNA (tRNA) molecules are approximately 80 nucleotides in length.
Source: Rfam by way of RNAcentral
GAGGAUAUAGCUCAGUGGUAGUGCUUAGCAUGAGCAAGGUCCUGGGUUCAAUCCCCAGUACCUCCA